Molecule: ribosomal RNA, 467 nt
Filed under: uncultured bacterium
Lineage: Bacteria
Description: bacterial SSU rRNA
Rfam family: Bacterial small subunit ribosomal RNA
Source: RNAcentral
GACGAACGCUGGCGGCGUGCUUAACACAUGCAAGUCGAACGAGAAGAGAUGAGAAGCUUGCUUCUUAUUGAUUCGAGUGGCAAACGGGUGAGUAACGCGUAAGCAACCUGCCCUUCAGAUGGGGGACAACAGCUGGAAACGGUUGCUAAUACCGAAUACGUUCUUUUUGUCGCAUGGCAGAGGGAAGAAAGGGAGGCUCUUCGGAGCUUUCGCUGAAGGAGGGGCUUGCGUCUGAUUAGCUAGUUGGAGGGGUAACGGCCCACCAAGGCGACGAUCAGUAGCCGGUCUGAGAGGAUGAACGGCCACAUUGGGACUGAGACACGGCCCAGACUCCUACGGGAGGCAGCAGUGGGGAAUCUUCCGCAAUGGACGAAAGUCUGACGGAGCAACGCCGCGUGAACGAUGACGGCCUCGGUUGUAAAGUUCUGUUAUACGGACGAAUGGCGUAGCGGUCAAUACCCGUUACG